Molecule: ribosomal RNA, 253 nt
Filed under: uncultured bacterium
Lineage: Bacteria
Description: partial 16S ribosomal RNA
Rfam family: Bacterial small subunit ribosomal RNA
Source: RNAcentral
UACGUAGGGUGCAAGCGUUAAUCGGAAUUACUGGGCGUAAAGCGUGCGCAGGCGGUUUUGUAAGUCUGUCGUGAAAUCCCCGGGCUCAACCUGGGAAUUGCGAUGGAGACUGCAAGGCUGGAGUCUGGCAGAGGGGGGUAGAAUUCCACGUGUAGCAGUGAAAUGCGUAGAGAUGUGGAGGAACACCGAUGGCGAAGGCAGCCCCCUGGGUCAAGACUGACGCUUAUGCACGAAAGCGUGGGGAGCAAACAGG